This 5529-nucleotide long non-coding RNA is filed under the name Pelobates cultripes (western spadefoot toad). The record is from RNAcentral. Lineage: Eukaryota; Metazoa; Chordata; Amphibia; Anura; Pelobatidae.
GCUUACAAAAGAUAAACGUUGCUAAAAGCGGAAAUAGCUGAUUUUUGCAGAAGACCACAUUUCUUGUGGUCAAGCAUGUCUUAUUUUCCAUGAUACUUUUCUCGGAAGCAUCAGGUCAACGUUACUUUGCGGAUGCGUCUGUUGAUUCAAAAGCAGAAGUGAUAAAUCAAAAAUAACCUGUGGUUUGUCUAGUUUUUAGCUCUUGUGUAAAUCUUAAGAAAGAGAAUAUAAUAUCAGAAAUUAUAGAUGAGAAUCAUUAACCCCUUCCCUUCAUUCCCCUCUUUGAGCAAGACCUUGCUCAUACCCCAUUUAAGGAGUCUUGGUCAGACAACCAGCCAUCUGCCAUGGUAUAUUCAGGAUUGCUAGUCAAUCCUGCAGGUCUUUCAUUAUGUCUUCGGCCACUAUUCCCAUAGCAUAGGACUAGUCAUCUGACCAGUACCACAAACUUAUAGAUCUGUAUCAGCAUGUUCACCAUUGCUUCGGUUAUGUGUAUACAUUUGGAGAUACUCAUCAUAGCAAGCUGGGGAUUUUACAGGAACAGUGUUGCAUGUAUGUUUGUAAAUGCAGAAUACAAUAGUCUUAAAAAUAGCAUAAACAAGUAGAGCAAGGACCAGAACCAUAACAAUAAUUAUUGCAAAUAGCUGACAUGUUAACCAAUUUUAAACAGACUAACCAACAUGCCAUCUGUAUCAUAAGCCCUAGGUAAAUAUGGGCAAAGUAUAUUAUUCCCAAUAGUUGUUUUCCUCCUUCAUCCACGCAAGUGGGCGCAUAUAGUCAAAGUGGGAAUAAUACCUAUCCCCCGUCCAAUGACCCGGGUCUAGGAUUACCAGUCCACCCGAUGAUCUUUGGCCAGGCAAAAACCCAGUGGCAAAAACUCAUAUUUGAGGAAAAAGAACAUUUAGGGAAAACCUGAGUGGGGGCCGCGAUCGUGUUAGACAUGUCAUCCCCUCACAGUUGACACCACUUAUGACUUAUAAUACCCGCACCUGUGAGUACAUAGCUUGGGUAUUGGGAGGAAUUGGGAAACACUUCUUACAUAUUAAUUCAUGAGAUAAAUUAUAAUCUAGCUUGAAAUUCUGACAAUAAUCACAACCAGGACCUUGCGUCCUAUAUCUUUUAACCUUUUCGCUAUUCCAAAAGUCCAGUCAAAACCAGUCAUAUCCUCACGCAGUUCCUCAAAACAUGGGAAUCCAUCCUUGGCACACUCAACAUACAUCAAAGAUACACAUAGUACAUCCAUCCCUGGGUCAGCUAACACUUCCUCUCUCUCUGGCUAACUCUACAAAAAUAAAAAUAAAAUUAGUUCAAUAGUUCAGCAUAGUCCAGAAAAAUAGAAUAAGUAUUUCACAGAGUAUAAAGAAAUCAGUUUAGACACCAGACAUUUUGUUCCAUAAAAAUGGCUAAGGGUAGCAAUAUGGCUGACAACAAGACAAUGUCAGCUUCCAUAUAGUUCUUAGUUCUUCUUUUGUUUGCUGGAUUUUCACCACAAAGCUCUGUGCAACACCCCAAUGGUUGAAAGGGUUAUUACAGAACCAGCGGCAUUAGACAGCACUGCACCUUCAGGACUUUCCAGGUUCUUGCGUGCAAAGUUUAUGUCCUCAUAAAUAAGUAUCUCAGUUUCUUCGGCCUGCAUGGAUAAUGACCAAACAGAUGUAAUUGCAAAAUACUUAUUGCAUGGUCAGCCAGAGAGAUUAGUGUGUAGUCCCAGAAAUCAGGCGGCACAAACACUCCAGGACGGUCUCUACAAACAUACAAACACAAGGAUCAAUACAACAUUAAUUAAUUAUCUAGGCUAAAACUUAAAUUAGAGAUUAAGGUUAAAUCCUUAAUUUGUGUAACAUGUACUUCUCUUAUAUUUGCUUAUAUUUUAUGCAAUCUGUCUUCUAUGAAGUUUUACAUAAUACCCCUUUGGAAUGCCUUUGUACGGAUGAGAGUAGCACUCACUCUAUAGAAAUCCUUGUUAGGAUGAAUAUUAAAACACUAACAUAUACAUAUGGGGAUAAUUCCCAAUAAAACUCUGUUCCUAAACUGGAACCUUGAUCUGAUAUUCAAAAUUAAUUACUUUAAUAAUCCCGAAUAAUUCAAUACUCUUGGAUUAACACCUAAAACUAUAUAAAAUAUUACAAACCUGAACCAUCUGUGUAUUAGGCUGGGGCUGUUGGGUGUGGGUAUAGAUUGGAAGCUGUGGUUGAUAUUGAGGAAUCUGUGGGGGUGGGUUUGGGCACUCAUUUUUUUAGUGACCCUGCUAUCCACAAUUAGAACAGUGUGUUCCACCAAUGCUGAAGUUGUUACCUCUACAAAAGUUAGACCCUUUGACCAAAUCCUCUACCUCUUCCUUUAUUCCAUAUGCAGGUCGGGAUUACCGAACUCACAUCCCCUCUUUGUGUACCACACAGAUAUAAUAUUAAUAAGCUUUUAAAGGUUUAAUGGAUAGUUAAAUUUUGUAUAUAAAGCAAGGUUGUCUAGGGGUAUAUACAUCGACAAUUAAAGCAUAGCCUUCAUAUAGGGCUUGCAAUACUGACAGUCUGUGUCAUGAGCGUAAUGCAGACAUGCGGUUAGGUACUUUUCCAUUAUUAUAAUAUAUUGAAAACACUAAGACCUUGCAAAUUUUUAAAACACAUAUUGCUACCUGUACCUGGGGCCAUGCAAGGAUGUAAUUGGGACAUAUUUCAAAUUGAGUAUCAAAAGUCUAACCACAAAACUAAAUGUUAUAAGCUUAUCAAGAAAACAAGUUUAACCCGUUAGUGCGUACUUUGGAUAGCCUCUUUGCAUAAUUUGGCUCCUACUGAGAUUAUUAUAUUAUUUAUUAAUCCUCUUCUGGAUCUGCAAAAUGCUUUCACUUUACCCAUACAAAUAUCAUACAGUAGUUUAGGAGAUUAAGAUUACCUCACUUAUAAAUUUCAGAAAUUUGUCUAAUCCCUAUUAAAAAUACAAUUUUAUUAUUAUCCCAUAAUCAAUGAGGCAUAUUAGAUGAAUCUUACUUUGACACAAACAAUGCAAUAUACUUUAAAAGUAGAGUUAACUCUGAGCUGGACAAUACUCCCCUAUUAGAACUCCUUUAUGAGGGAGAGACAUCUUGUCCAUUUAUCCUUUUUAUCAGUAAAAGAAUGACUUUCAGGAUUAAUCAGUUUGCAAAUGGAAAUGUGGAGCCACGAUUUGAACAGCAGAAGUUUGCGGGGCCCCUUUCACGUGGGAUGUAACAAGCGCUUUUCGUGCUUCAGGAGCGAUAGCAUACAAUUGUUUCAUUCUAGCCGGCUGGACAGCAUUUCACCUUUUGUAAAAACACUAAAUGCUUGCGUUAAUGAUAUGCAAAUCACUCUGCUAGUUAAACUCCUACACAAUGGACAAUAAAAUACAUGAAACACAUAACACACCAAUUCAUUUCAAACCAUAUAACUCAUACUCAGCAUCCAAUGUAAUAUUACAUGUCAUCUCACAAAACAGACAUCCCACAAAACAGACAUCUCACAAAACAGACAUCUCACAAAACAGACAUCUCACAAAACAGACGUAGUAGAAACACAUAAUGGAUACCCAGCAGAUAUGCCAAUACAGAAAACACAUUCAUGGGCACGCAACUACACACUCUGUGUCCCUCCUAGGAAACACGGGUAGACACAAUAUGAAAGCAGUCUUAAACUAACACCUCCAAAUCUCCAUUCCCAUAUAGCUAUAUCAGAACACAACACAGAGCCUCUCUUGGCCAAAACACUAGUAUUCAACAGCUAAUAAAACAGUUAUUUGCUAGGUUAUUUGACUGGCAUUUGUAUCAGUAUCACUAGACUGAGACAAACUGAUUCAAAUAUAAUUUAAAACAACACAGCAACAUAUAAAUUAAACCACUUUCCAGUUAAGCUGCACACUUCACACAUUAUCACAGUCACCAUUUACACAGAAUAAACAGUUAACAGCUGUACUCAGAACAUAUUAUUGUAAGGUAUACCAAUUUUAGUUUGUAUUAGAUUUAUUUUAGGGAUUCUUAUGUAUACUUUUUAUUUAUUUAUUUAUUUUAAUUCUUAUUAACUUCAUUACUUUAAUCUACUAUAGUAUUGUAUAUAGAGAAAGGAUCCAUUUAUAUAGCGUGCUCAUAACUCAAAUAUUUGUAUGAAACUUCCAUUAACUAAUCUGAGAUGAUACUGCAUCAACUUAAAUUUUAUAGAAAUUGAGCAAACAUCUGGACCAGAUUACACAGACAUGGUUUCACCAGAAUCUUACAGAACUCUCAGAGACUUAAAAAAAAAUUAUUCUAUACCAUGUUUAAAAGGCAUGGCAAACCUUAGACUGGUCAGUCUCCAAGAGCCUUAGUAAAACAGGUAGAAACCUUUGUCCAUGAUCUCUGAUCCAGGCUAUAUACCAUAAUUUAAAAUAACACAUAAUGUGAGACAUAGAAGACAUAAAACAUAUGCAGUAGUUAUUACACUGGAUCAUUUAAAACAUCUGUCGCAAUAAAAAGGUUAGCUUACAGCACAAAAUGAAGCAUGUGUUGGACCGCUGAAAAUGUAAAUGUUGCUCUUAUUUACAAACAAAAAUCAUAUUAACAGGAUGGAUCCUUUGCAACAAACACACAGGGCAGGGAAGAUGUGCUGAUUGGUGUUCUAUACAAUUAAUCCCAUCUGGGGAAUUAACUUUCAAAUACUAAUGAAGUGACUUUUGUCUCAGUUAUAAAAAUACUGAGCUCAUCAUGCAAACAAUGCAACACAUUUACACUAUCCCACUCUCAUAGAAAGUGUAGUGGGCUUAUGGUAUUAAAGUAACAAUCAUACCAGGCACACAGAUCCCAUGUGAAAUAACUUACAAUAAAACAGAGUAAUACGCUUAUACUUCUAUGUGACAUAAAGAAUAAAGCAAAAAGAGUUGAACUAUUUCAUAUCCUUACAGUCAGCACUAAUGAUUAUAAACCUUAUCUAAGCAUAAAAUACAUAUGAACAAGAAAAGUUAACUACUUCAUAUUCUUGCAUGGUAAUUUCCCAUUUCUAGGACAAAUCUUUCAAACACUUAUUCACACUCACAACCAGACUUAACUAAUGACAAUUAGAGGGUGGACAAGGUGAACCUGAAACUCUGUGUACACUAUCCUAGUAUAUUCCCUUAUAUACUAAAUUCUCUGUCUAUAUCACUUUAUAGACUUCCUUUUAUCUGUCUAAUUCUCUUAUUAGACCUUCUCUAGUUCACUUACUAGAAAUACAUAUAUCUCUCUAUCUAGUUCCCUUACUAGACUAAUUUAACGGGACCUUAUGUAAAACUGAGUCACAUAAAACACAUGUACAAAAUAACCUUUCCUAAAAUGAUGUAGACUUACAAAACCAUGGGGAUCAUAGAUUCAGGGCGUCAAGAUAGACACAAGGAAUUACUACUCACCCAAAAUGGUUUGGCUACAAUCCCACCGCUGCCACCAAGCUGAAAGGUAAAUCUGCUACUCUGGUGACUCGGUCCCUCUGGUCACUAUUCUCCAACCCUCGAUUGUCAGCUGAAUAUUCAGGGAAGAUUUUUAUGGAAGCGUAUUAACCAGACACACACUCUUUGCUUUCC